AGAGUUUGAUCCUGGGUCAGGACGAACGCUGGCGGCGUGCCUAAUACAUGCAAGUCGAACGAGAAACUUCUACCGAGUGCUUGCACUCAACUGAAGUUUCGAGUGGCGGACGGGUGAGUAACACGUGGGUACCUACCCUAGAGCGGGGGAUAACAUUUGGAAACAGAUGCUAAUACCGCAUAACAACCAGAAACGAUUGUUUUUGGUUUGAAAGAUGGUUUCGGCUAUCACUCUAGGAUGGGCCCGCGGCGUAUUAGCCAGUUGGUGAGGUAACGGCUCACCAAAGCAAUGAUACGUAGCCGACCUGAGAGGGUGAUCGGCCACAUUGGGACUGAGACACGGCCCAAACUCCUACGGGAGGCAGCAGUAGGGAAUCUUCCACAAUGGACGAAAGUCUGAUGGAGCAACGCCGCGUGAGUGAAGAAGGGUUUCGGCUCGUAAAACUCUGUUAUCGAAGAAGAACGAGGGUAAGAGUAACUGUUUACCCUGUGACGGUAUUCGAUCAGAAAGCCACGGCUAACUACGUGCCAGCAGCCGCGGUAAUACGUAGGUGGCAAGCGUUGUCCGGAUUUAUUGGGCGUAAAGCGAGCGCAGGCGGUCUUUUAAGUCUGAUGUGAUAAACCUUCGGCUCAACCGAAGAAGUGCAUCGGAAACUGGGAGACUUGAGUGCAGAAGAGGAGAGUGGAACUCCAUGUGUAGCGGUGAAAUGCGUAGAUAUAUGGAAGAACACCAGUGGCGAAGGCGGCUCUCUGGUCUGUAACUGACGCUGAGGCUCGAAAGCGUGGUAGCAAACAGGAUUCAGAUACCCUGUAGUC
Molecule: ribosomal RNA, 815 nt
Filed under: uncultured Lactobacillus sp.
Lineage: Bacteria; Bacillati; Bacillota; Bacilli; Lactobacillales; Lactobacillaceae
Description: bacterial SSU rRNA
Rfam family: Bacterial small subunit ribosomal RNA
Source: RNAcentral